CAGCCUAACACAUGCAGUCGACGGUAACAGGAAACAGCUUGCUGUUUCGCUGACGAGUGGCGGACGGGUGAGUAAUGUCUGGGAAACUGCCUGAUGGAGGGGGAUAACUACUGGAAACGGUAGCUAAUACCGCAUAACGUCGCAAGACCAAAGAGGGGGACCCUCGGGCCUCUUGCCAUCGGAUGUGCCCAGAUGGGAUUAGCUUGUUGGUGGGGUAACGGCUCACCAAGGCGACGAUCCCUAGCUGGUCUGAGAGGAUGACCAGCCACACUGGAACUGAGACACGGUCCAGACUCCUACGGGAGGCAGCAGUGGGGAAUAUUGCACAAUGGGCGCAAGCCUGAUGCAGCCAUGCCGCGUGUAUGAAGAAGGCCUUCGGGUUGUAAAGUACUUUCAGCGGGGAGGAAGGGAGUAAAGUUAAUACCUUUGCUCAUUGACGUUACCCGCAGAAGAAGCACCGGCUAACUCCGUGCCAGCAGCCGCGGUAAUACGGAGGGUGCAAGCGUUAAUCGGAAUUACUGGGCGUAAAGCGCACGCAGGCGGUUUGUUAAGUCAGAUGUGAAAUCCCCGGGCUCAACCUGGGAACUGCAUCUGAUACUGGCAAGCUUGAGUCUCGUAGAGGGGGGUAGAAUUCCAGGUGUAGCGGUGAAAUGCGUAGAGAUCUGGAGGAAUACCGGUGGCGA
This 683-nucleotide ribosomal RNA is filed under the name uncultured Escherichia sp. RNAcentral describes it as "bacterial SSU rRNA". It matches the Rfam family "Bacterial small subunit ribosomal RNA", at positions 43 to 718 of the family's 1533-position model. Lineage: Bacteria; Pseudomonadati; Pseudomonadota; Gammaproteobacteria; Enterobacterales; Enterobacteriaceae. The record is from RNAcentral.